CCUACGGGGGGCAGCAGUGGGGAAUGUUGGACAAUGGGGGGAACCCUGAUCCAGCCAUGCCGCGUGUGUGAAGAAGGCCCUCGGGUUGUAAAGCACUUUCAGUGAGGAAGAACGCCUGGUGGUUAAUACCCAUCAGGAAAGACAUCACUCACAGAAGAAGCACCGGUUAACUCCGUGCCAGCAGCCGCGGUAAUACGGAGGGUGCGAGCGUUAAUCGGAAUUACUGGGCGUAAAGCGCGCGUAGGUGGCUUGAUAAGCCGGUUGUGAAAGCCCCGGGCUCAACCUGGGAACGGCAUCCGGAACUGUCAAGCUAGAGUGCAGGAGAGGAAGGUAGAAUUCCCGGUGUAGCGGUGAAAUGCGUAGAGAUCGGGAGGAAUACCAGUGGCGAAGGCGGCCUUCUGGACUGACACUGACACUGAGGUGCGAAAGCGUGGGUAGCAAACAGGAUUAGAUACCCCAGUAGUC
Molecule: ribosomal RNA, 465 nt
Filed under: Vreelandella stevensii
Lineage: Bacteria; Pseudomonadati; Pseudomonadota; Gammaproteobacteria; Oceanospirillales; Halomonadaceae
Description: partial 16S ribosomal RNA
Rfam family: Bacterial small subunit ribosomal RNA
Source: RNAcentral